AAUGAGCCUGCGAGUUGUGGUGUCUGGCAAGGUUAAGCAAACGCGAAGCCGUAGCGAAAGCGAGUCUGAAUAGGGCGCUUAGUCAGAUGCUGCAGACCCGAAACGAAGUGAUCUAUCCAUGAGCAAGUUGAAGCUAGUGUAAGAACUAGUGGAGGACUGAACCCAUAGGCGUUGAAAAGCCCCGGGAUGACUUGUGGAUAGGGGUGAAAGGCCAAUCAAACUUCGUGAUAGCUGGUUCUCUCCGAAAUAUAUUUAGGUAUAGCGUUGUGUCGUAAUAUAAGGGGGUAGAGCACUGAAUGGGCUAGGGCAUACACCAAUGUACCAAACCCUAUCAAACUCCGAAUACCUUAUAUGUAAUCACAGCAGUCAGGCGGCGAGUGAUAAAAUCCGUCGUCAAGAGGGAAACAACCCAGACUACCAGCUAAGGUCCCUAAAUCUUACUUAAGUGGAAAACGAUGUGAAGUUACUUAAACAACCAGGAGGUUGGCUUAGAAGCAGCCAUCCUUUAAAGAAAGCGUAAUAGCUCACUGGUCUAGUGAUUUUGCGCGGAAAAUAUAACGGGGCUAAAGUAAGUACCGAAGCUGUAGACUUGCACACAACUUAGAUUAUUUAAGUUUAGAAUAAGUAGUUUAAGUUGUGUGCAAGUGGUAGGAGAGCGUUCUAUUUGCGUCGAAGGUAUACCGGUAAGGAGUGCUGGAGCGAAUAGAAGUGAGCAUGCAGGCAUGAGUAGCGAUAAUUAAUGUGAGAAUCAUUAACGCCGUAAACCCAAGGUUUCCUACGCGAUGCUCGUCAUCGUAGGGUUAGUCGGGUCCUAAGUCGAGUCCGAAAGGGGUAGACGAUGGCAAAUUGGUUAAUAUUCCAAUACCAACAUUAGUGUGCGAUGGAAGGACGCUUAGGGCUAAGGGGGCUAGCGGAUGGAAGUGCUAGUCUAAGGUCGUAGGAGGUUAUACAGGCAAAUCCGUAUAACAAUACUCCGAGAACUGAAAGGCUUUUUGAAGUCUUCGGAUGGAUAGAAGAACCCCUGAUGCCGUCGAGCCAAGAAAAGUUUCUAAGUUUAGCUAAUGUUGCCCGUACCGUAAACCGACACAGGUGGGUGGGAUGAGUAUUCUAAGGCGCGUGGAAGAACUCUCUUUAAGGAACUCUGCAAAAUAGCACCGUAUCUUC
This 1164-nucleotide ribosomal RNA is filed under the name Campylobacter jejuni. RNAcentral describes it as "partial 23S ribosomal RNA". It matches the Rfam family "Bacterial large subunit ribosomal RNA", at positions 614 to 1737 of the family's 2925-position model. Lineage: Bacteria; Pseudomonadati; Campylobacterota; Epsilonproteobacteria; Campylobacterales; Campylobacteraceae. The record is from RNAcentral.